GCUGAAAGCGGGCGACCGUGAGGGUAAGAACGGAGGGGGCGGGCGUUGUUCGGAAUUGCGGGUCGUGAAGGGCGCGCAGGCGGCGCAAGGAGUCCGAUGUGAAAGCCCCGGGCUCAACCUGGGGAUGGCAUUUGAUACUCGUGGGCUGGAGUACGGGAGAGGGGAGUGGAAUUCCCAGUGUAGAGGUGAAAUGCGUAGAUAUUGGGAAGAACACCGGUGGCGAAGGCGGCUCUCUGGACCGUAACUGACGCUGAGGCGCGAAAGCGUGGGGAGCAAACAGGAUUAGAUACCCCUGUAGUC
This 300-nucleotide ribosomal RNA is filed under the name uncultured Bacillus sp. RNAcentral describes it as "bacterial SSU rRNA". It matches the Rfam family "Bacterial small subunit ribosomal RNA", at positions 496 to 795 of the family's 1533-position model. The record is from RNAcentral. Lineage: Bacteria; Bacillati; Bacillota; Bacilli; Caryophanales; Bacillaceae.